Molecule: long non-coding RNA, 2596 nt
Organism: Canis lupus familiaris (dog)
Lineage: Eukaryota; Metazoa; Chordata; Mammalia; Carnivora; Canidae
Exons: 5
Source: RefSeq, a predicted model, not a curated record
CACAGUGCUAUGGACUGAGUUGUGCUGCCUUCUCCCCCAAAUUUACGUGUUGAUACCCUAACCCCCAACGUGACAGCAUUGGGCGAUGUAGCCCAUGGAAGGAUCACAAGGAGAAGGUGACUAUCUACAAGCCCAGAAAGGAGCCCUUACUGGACACCCAAUAGGCUGACACCUUGAUCUUGGACUUAUCCUUCAGAACUGAAAGAGAGACCACCAAAGUAUUUACUGGGAAGAGAUUCAACACAGAGAAUUAGGUGCUUACAAAACUGGGGAGGCUGAAGAAACAACUUUGGAGGGACACCAAGCUUAUCCCCUAGUGUUGCUAUUGCCUCCAUGAGCACGAGGAGGGCUAUUCCAAGAGAAGUUCCCAGCAGUAAAUAGGGUCCUGGGAUCUGAGUCCUGGGAUCAGGAAGUCACAUGAGGAAAAUUCCAGGGCUUCAGCUUCUCGACGCUGAGCACGCUGGAGAAGGAACUCUGAUAAGCUGCUGUGAGAAGACCUUACCUGUCCAUUGUCCUGUGAGUCGGCACUAAUAGCUUGGGCUCCAGGGUGAUGGACUCUGACCCAGUCCUGCCUCCCAGGUAUCCCUGAGUACACACUGACCCCUCACAGCAAGGGAGGCUCUGCAGAUGGAGUUGGUGGCUUUCUAAGCCUUUCCAAUGUGACAGAAGGUAGAAUGGUUUCAGCUUUACCAUCUACAAUGUGUGAGGCCUUGGGUAAAUAUAUAGCCUCUGUUUUUCCCCCUGUGAAUAGGUAAAGACACAACUUUCUCAUUCUACCAAUUAGUCAUUUAAGGUCCAGGAAAUUAACGAAUGGGGGGUAUGCUUUUGACAAAGAUGGCAAAAAAGAAAAGUUGUCUGGGUUUUUUUGGUCACCCCUUUUAUUUUGUGUUUGUAUAUGCAUUGUCAUUGUUUUUCUACUUGGAUGUAUGUAAAUACUUGCAUCUUUAUUUUUCUCUUUGUUCUGUGCAGAGUAAAACAGAGCUCUGAGGUCAAAGGGUACCUGAGGAGCACUGGUUGGGAGAAAUGGGGACUCUCACAGUAAUGAGAAGUUUCUUAAACUUAAUAAAGGAAGGCCUCCUGCCCAGCUUUGUGUCUGCCAUAAUACCCACCACAGUCCCUAGCAUCAAGUAGGCAAAGACAAUCCUGAAGCCAUUUUGAUAUGGUGGACGUUAUGCAAAAUUGGAUGAGCCUGGGCCCACCUCUCCUUAGGGGAUUUCUGGAGGCUGAAAUAUGACCGCAUCACAAAAGGGAUCUGAAAGUCCAAUACUAAUUACAUGCAAGGAAGUAUGACUACUCCCUGAGAAAAAAAAAAAUUGACACAAGAACAUCAAUCUGCCAGGGGAGAAGAAGGACACUGAAAAAGAGAGGGGAAGGUGUGUUAGAGGCAAGGUGCCCACUUUUUUUCUCAAGUGAGUCUGUGAAUAACAGUUCUUGGGUUGCAUGGGUCCAUAUGCAAUCCCUUGAAUGAUGGUGAGGGGAGAGGUGGAGAAGAAAGAAGACUCGUGAGACCUCUUACAUCCCUGGCACUGUGAUUUUAUAACUCAUCUUUUAUUCUUGAAAUAGAUGUGUGAGAGAUGUGAAGACACCCUUAAAAAAUAAAAUAAAAGGCAUUUCAAGAUUCUUCCUUCCCUCCUCAAGGUGCUCUGCAGUUCGAUGUUAGACUUUCUCCACUAGGGGUAUGCUCUCAGCUCUGCCAAGAAGGACCAGAGGACCAUCUGGGCAAGUUUAUGAUGGGUAAGCCUGGAGGUUCCACGUCAGCUUGGGUGGUCAAUUCCAAGGAAGGAAAAGCAUCCCCAGGGUUCUCAUGGGAAAACUGCAGGGAGCGUGGGAAUUUAUAUCACAGGGAAAGGCAAAAGCUUUUUAAUCUCUUGCAAUCUGAAUAUUUUCUUGAAAAUCUAAUAAAAAGACUCACCGAUAAUUCCUAAAUGACCAUUCAGCAAGGCAUUUUACCGUUCUCUCUCUCCUUGGAAGCAUCACAUUUUGUCUGUUUGAAGUCUUGCUCUCCACCAGCCUUAAUGUCAGUGUCUCUUCCUGUCUUUCCCCAAUUCCUACUUUUUUAUUAUCCUGUUCAUUUUGUUUUCUGGCCCUAGACAGCAUGGCUUCUCAGGAUAGAGGCAUCCAAGACCAUUGAAAAUGCUAAUUCUCUAUCCCUCACCCUGAUUCUGACUCUAUGUUUCUGGAGCAGUUCUUCUAAAUCUAGAAUCAUAAUGCUUCUCACAUAAUUCAGAUGUUGGACAGAAGGUGUUAACUUGAGUGAUGCCUUAAGAAACACUAGUUUAGCAAAAGAUAAAUUGUAUGUCAAUACAGAGAAGAGCAGCACAAAUGUGUGAUAGGCAGGGGAGAAACACAAUCCUCAUCUCUAGCUUUUCAUCAGUGUAAAACCACUUGCUGAUCCCUGAGUGAACAAUAAGAGAAUUAAGUGUAUGGUGACAAACUGCAUGAUUUAUGUUCAAAAUGAGUCACUUGGAGAUAAUGAAUGAAAAAUAUAUUUUUUAUGUUUACUUGAUUGAUUAGCAGGUUUUAUUACGUUGGUGAACUUAGAGUUAUUGUCUUUUUUUAAGAUUUUAUUUAUUUAUUUUAGUGAAAGAGUGAGAAG